RNAcentral lists this long non-coding RNA (212 nucleotides) under Nicotiana benthamiana. RNAcentral describes it as "long non-coding RNA (NBEN_LNC000391)". The record is from RNAcentral. Lineage: Eukaryota; Viridiplantae; Streptophyta; Magnoliopsida; Solanales; Solanaceae.
UAAUCACCUCUCCCCAAUACCUCUUAGGCCUCCCUCUGCCUCGCCGAACGCCGACCAUCGUCGGUCGUUCACAACUCCUCACCGGGGCAUCAUGACUUCUCUCCGCACAUGCCCGAGCCACCUCAGCCUCGCUUCUCGCAUCUUCUCAACCACCGGGGUCACCCCCACCUUCUCUCGAAUAACUUCAUUCUUAAUCUUAUCUAACCUAGUGA